CCUAGGGUGGCAGCAGUCGAGAAUCAUUCACAAUGGGGGAAAACCUGAUGGUGCGACGCCGCGGGGGGGAAUGAAGGUCUUAGGAUUGUAAACCCCUGUCAUGUGGGAGCAAAUUAAAAAGAUAGUACCACAAGAGGAAGAGACGGCUAACUCUGUGCCAGCAGCCGCGGUAAUACAGAGGUGUCAAGCGUUGUUAGGAAUCACUGGGCGUAAAGCGUGCGGAGGCUGUUUAGUAAGUCGGUUGUGAAAGGCGCGGGCUCAACCCGCGGACGGCACAUGAUACUGCGAGACUAGAGUAAUGGAGGGGGAACCGGAAUUCUCGGUGUAGGAGUGAAAUGCGUAGAUAUCGAGAGGAACACUCGUGGCGAAGGCGGGUUCCUGGACAUUAACUGACGCUGAGGCACGAAGGCCAGGGGAGCGAAAGGGAUUAGAUACCCUUGUAGUC
RNAcentral lists this ribosomal RNA (445 nucleotides) under uncultured bacterium. RNAcentral describes it as "partial 16S ribosomal RNA". It matches the Rfam family "Bacterial small subunit ribosomal RNA", at positions 338 to 795 of the family's 1533-position model. The record is from RNAcentral.